GUUCGGCCGGGGCCGGGUUUGAACCCGCCACCCUCGGUAUAUGGGGCCGGCGCCUUACCGACUGAGCCACAGGCGCCGCCCUGCAAGGCACAAAGAACAACACGAAAGGGAUGGCAGGACAAAAGACAAGGAAAUAAGGAGACACCCAUCUCAGGAUGCCUGGACGUAGAGUUAUACAGAAGACAGCAGUGACCACUUAGAUACACAGAGACACGGGAAGUGGAGUGCAGGUAUUGUCAGAGAUUUUACCCGAGAGGCCUGUCCCUUCCUCACACUGAGGACAUCCUGAAGAAGAACAUAGGAUAAGACAUGCUUAACAAAUGAUCAACUCAACUCCCAUGGACAGUAAUGGAAGAAUGCUAUCUGAGAAUGAAUAUUUUUUCAAUCUUUGUUCUCUGGUCAAAGGACACCUUUUAAAAAAGCAUUUUUAUGAGACGGAUGAGGACGAUGCACUCUGAGGACCUAGGUUUGAACUAUAGGGAGAGAUUUAAGUGAGACAUCUUUAUACUAGGAGUGUUUUAUAAAAGCAGGACUUUUUUCUUUCUUUCUUUGCCGUUAGCAGCACUGCUCCUUGAAGACUGCUGACGGUUUCAGAUUUCUGUAGGUAAAGACUCUGGAUGAACUUUGGAGCACUCUUCUUCUGUUGAGAAAACCUGAUAAAGUUCAGAAUGAAGCUAUUCUCAUCUGAAAUAAAUAUUCACUCAUUGUAUUGGAGAUUAUAAAAUCAUCAUAAAAUUGAACACAGAUAUACAUCAAAGUACUGAGUGUUUUGUUAAGAACAAUAAAAUGCUAUCUUUUUAGUUAGAAUGAGGGGCAUAUUUUCUCCAAAAUGUGAAUUUAGUCAGAGCUGUUGACUAUUCAUGGUAUAAGCUCUAAUGACAUAGCUGAGCACCAUGCCUUGUUGGGGCUGGUGGAGGGGCACAUGGAGGAGCAGGUGGAAGACUUUCCUGGAGGAAAUGUUUUUUUCCUACUGUCAAUCAUCUUGGGGCAGAAAAUGAGCUGGUUUGGAAUGAGAAGAAAAGACUUCCUUUGCUUUCUGCACUUGGAGAUGUAGAGAUGGCCGCAGAUGUUAUCGGGAGCUUUGAGCUGGUCCCCGACACGUGGAAACCUGCUGGGAGGUAAAGUCAUAUGUGGCGUUGUCAUUCUCCAAAGGUGCAGCCCUUCUCCUCAAACAUUUGACUGUGCUUAGAAUGAGUAGGAGAGCACACUGUGUCCACACUGACAUGGGAUCCAUGGGAAAUAGAGGGGAGGGCAGCCUGGAGGAAAGUCUUAGGAGGUGACAGAAGGGAGCCUGAAGAAGAGCCACAGUGCAGUGGAGCUCCAUUGGGACACACUACAGGGUGUGAAAUUUCCAUAAAUUAUGUGGGGAACAUAAUGGAUGCUUAAUAUUCCAAAUGAUGAGACUUCAGGUUAUCGUAAAUUGGACAUUAAUAAAAUAGUGUCUGUAUUUUGUAAUCCACAGGCUGGUGAGGUAUGAGGACACAUGGAUGACAUAAUUAAGGACUUCCUAAAAAUGUGACUUGAAACUCUUAAAGUGGACUUUGAAAUAACACUUAUACAAUGACAACCACUGGUUUAAUUAACUGCCUAACUAUCCUUAGCUGUCUUUAAGACUAAGAAUGCUUGGUAACUUAUUAAUGACUUCAACUUUAGGUGUGAUAAGAGCUAGAAAACAGCAACAAAUCUGAAAAUGACCAAUUACAAUUUAUAUGUAGCCAGCCAGCCAGCCAGCAAAUACUAUCUGUUGCCAAACACGGUGCUUACUACCAGGAAUGCAGAGCUUAUGAAGACAUUAUCCUAAAGAGCCUACAUCUGAGUGGAGACAGGUAGGAGCCUGCAUCUUUAGUCAGAGAGACAUAUGGUCCCCAGCUAAUGACACAAUUAGAUGAGCUUCCCUCUCAGGCUUUUUCCUGGGGGAUUGUGUGACCCAUGGAGCCAGAUCUAUUUUCUGCUGCCUUUUAUUCCUGUGCUCUCAGGUGUGCUGCUGGCCUUGGGGGACUCCAGUGGUUCUGGCUUCUUCCCAGGGGCUGCAUCCUGAAAUCCUGGGUUAAGGUGGGGAGAAAGCUGAAGCAGCGCACACAGGGUGACUUGGCCAGUCCACCAUUGCCCUCCAGUGGUCAAUUGCAGGGAAGUGGGGAAGGAAGAAUUGUGAGAAUGAAAUUCUGAGACUUGUGUCUAUGGAAAAAUAAGGGGGUUCUGGAAUGGCUCCCCAGAUAAAGGUUGGGAAAAGAGGAACUGGGAACCAUAGUUGAGGAUUAAGAUUCACUAAUGACGGGAUACCUUGAGAGGUGUGCACGGAGAGAACUAGGAACGAAAUCUACAUUGGUUUCCCAAUUUGGAUUUUGUCAGGAGAAAUAGUAACUGGCUGAAAAAAAUGACCAGGCUGCCUUGGGAUUAGAAAGCAUGGUGCCAGACGGCAGGGGAAUGGCCAUCUAUAGCUGUACACCUUGUCUUCUCAGGACACCCUUUCCAAGGUUCUAGGGAGACCCUGAUCUAGAAUUUUUACCUCCAGAUUCAUAGGCAGAAGGAGCGCAAUUCUCCUGAAAUAAAAUUGGUUGCAGA
Nycticebus coucang (slow loris) is the source of this 2562-nucleotide long non-coding RNA. RefSeq lists it as uncharacterized. The record is from RefSeq and is a predicted model, not a curated record. Lineage: Eukaryota; Metazoa; Chordata; Mammalia; Primates; Lorisidae. The transcript is spliced from 3 exons.